GUGAGGAGUGGCUUCCGGAGCUAACGCGUUAAAUCGACCGCCUGGGGAGUACGGCCGCAAGGUUAAAACUCAAAUGAAUUGACGGGGGCCCGCACAAGCGGUGGAGCAUGUGGUUUAAUUCGAUGCAACGCGAAGAACCUUACCUACUCUUGACAUCCAGAGAAUUUAGCAGAGAUGCUUUAGUGCCUUCGGGAACUCUGAGACAGGUGCUGCAUGGCUGUCGUCAGCUCGUGUUGUGAAAUGUUGGGUUAAGUCCCGCAACGAGCGCAACCCUUAUCCUUUGUUGCCAGCACGUUAUGGUGGGAACUCAAAGGAGACUGCCGGUGAUAAACCGGAGGAAGGUGGGGAUGACGUCAAGUCAUCAUGGCCCUUACGAGUAGGGCUACACACGUGCUACAAUGGCGUAUACAAAGAGAAGCGACCUCGCGAGAGCAAGCGGAACUCAUAAAGUACGUCGUAGUCCGGAUUGGAGUCUGCAACUCGACUCCAUGAAGUCGGAAUCGCUAGUAAUCGUAGAUCAGAAUGCUACGGUGAAUACGUUCCCGGGCCUUGUACACACCGCCCGUCACACCAUGGGAGUGGGUUGCAAAAGAAGUAGGUAGCUUAACCUUCGGGAGGGCGCUUACCACUUUGUGAUUCAUGACUGGGGUGAAGUCGUAACAAGGUAACCA
Molecule: ribosomal RNA, 671 nt
Filed under: uncultured Providencia sp.
Lineage: Bacteria; Pseudomonadati; Pseudomonadota; Gammaproteobacteria; Enterobacterales; Morganellaceae
Description: bacterial SSU rRNA
Rfam family: Bacterial small subunit ribosomal RNA
Source: RNAcentral